Molecule: ribosomal RNA, 507 nt
Filed under: Triticum aestivum (bread wheat)
Lineage: Eukaryota; Viridiplantae; Streptophyta; Magnoliopsida; Poales; Poaceae
Description: partial small subunit ribosomal RNA
Source: RNAcentral
AUGACAGAAACAGUUCCCACAGGCCCCUGCUGGCUGCAACCUGAUGCUCACGAGUUCAAAAUGAACGUGGAUGCCGGCCUGGCUAGGAACGGCUCAAAGGGGGUUGCAGCGGUAAUAUGCAGGGACAAGAGUGGCAAAUACUUGGGCGCCUCAGCCGUCGUCUUUGAGGGGCUCGUCGAUCCUGCGACACUUGAAGCCCAAGCGUGCAAGGAGGCUAUGGAUUUGGCUACAGAUCUUCAUCUCGACUCGUUGUGUAUUGCUUCAGACUGCCUAGAAGUGGUGGCCAAUAUCACAUCUGAGACCACCUGCCGGUACGCGACUAUCUUACGAGAGAUCAACUUUCAACGGAGUUUGUUCCGAGAUGUUAAAUUUAUCCAUGAGUAUCGUCAGUUUAAUGUUGAGGCCCAUAACCUCGCCAAAGCGGCAUCCUCUCUCUCUACCGGGCGCCAUGUUUGGCUCUUAGAUUUGCCCGAGAUUAUUUGUAUUCCUAUGAACAUUUGCAAUUAA